UACAGAGGUCCCGAGCGUUGUCCGGAUUUAUUGGGCGUAAAGAGCGUGUAGGCGGCCAGGUAGGUCUGCUGUGAAAACUCGAGGCUUAACCUCGAGCUGUCGGCGGAAACCAUCUGGCUAGAGUCCGGAAGAGGAGAAUGGAAUUCCCGGCGUAGCGGUGAAAUGCGCAGAUAUCGGGAAGAACACCCGUGGCGAAGGCGGUUCUCUGGGACGGUACUGACGCUGAGACGCGAAAGCGUGGGGAGCGAACAGG
RNAcentral lists this ribosomal RNA (253 nucleotides) under uncultured bacterium. RNAcentral describes it as "partial 16S ribosomal RNA". It matches the Rfam family "Bacterial small subunit ribosomal RNA", at positions 524 to 776 of the family's 1533-position model. The record is from RNAcentral.